This 25-nucleotide non-coding RNA is filed under the name Cricetulus griseus (Chinese hamster). The record is from RNAcentral. Lineage: Eukaryota; Metazoa; Chordata; Mammalia; Rodentia; Cricetidae.
AUUAGAGGCAAUGCCUGCCCAGUGA